This 495-nucleotide ribosomal RNA is filed under the name uncultured bacterium. Its description in RNAcentral is "partial 16S ribosomal RNA". It matches the Rfam family "Bacterial small subunit ribosomal RNA", at positions 28 to 507 of the family's 1533-position model. The record is from RNAcentral.
GACGAACGCUGGCGGCGUGCCUAAUACAUGCAAGUAGAACGCUGAAGGAGGAGCUUGCUUCUCUGGAUGAGUUGCGAACGGGUGAGUAACGCGUAGGUAACCUGCCUGGUAGCGGGGGAUAACUAUUGGAAACGAUAGCUAAUACCGCAUAAUAGUAGAUGUUGCAUGACAUUUGCUUAAAAGGUGCAAUUGCAUCACUACCAGAUGGACCUGCGUUGUAUUAGCUAGUUGGUGAGGUAACGGCUCACCAAGGCAACGAUACAUAGCCGACCUGAGAGGGUGAUCGGCCACACUGGGACUGAGACACGGCCCAGACUCCUACGGGAGGCAGCAGUAGGGAAUCUUCGGCAAUGGACGGAAGUCUGACCGAGCAACGCCGCGUGAGUGAAGAAGGUAUUCGGAUCGUAAAGAUCUGUUGUAAGAGAAGAACGAGUGUGAGAGUGGAAAGUUCACACUGUGACGGUAUCUUAACAGAAAGGGACGGCUAACUACGUG